GAUGGCGGCCAUAGGUUCCCGUGUUCACCUGAACUCGGCCGAACUCAGAAGUUAAGACGGGAGUCGUUUAAGGAAGUGUACGCUGCGCGAGCGCGUGACAAGCCUUAAAGCUGCCACAU
RNAcentral lists this ribosomal RNA (119 nucleotides) under Candidatus Thorarchaeota archaeon. The record is from RNAcentral. Lineage: Archaea; Promethearchaeati; Candidatus Thorarchaeota.